UACGUAGGGGGCAAGCGUUGUCCGGAAUCACUGGGCGUAAAGGGUGCGUAGGCGGGGUUUUAAGUCAGGGGUGAAAUCCUGGAGCUCAACUCCAGAACUGCCUUUGAUACUGAAGAUCUUGAGUCCGGGAGAGGUGAGUGGAACUGCGAGUGUAGAGGUGAAAUUCGUAGAUAUUCGCAAGAACACCAGUGGCGAAGGCGGCUCACUGGCCCGGUACUGACGCUGAGGCACGAAAGCGUGGGGAGCAAACAGG
RNAcentral lists this ribosomal RNA (253 nucleotides) under uncultured bacterium. Its description in RNAcentral is "partial 16S ribosomal RNA". It matches the Rfam family "Bacterial small subunit ribosomal RNA", at positions 524 to 776 of the family's 1533-position model. The record is from RNAcentral.